This 497-nucleotide ribosomal RNA is filed under the name uncultured bacterium. RNAcentral's name for it is "partial 16S ribosomal RNA". It matches the Rfam family "Bacterial small subunit ribosomal RNA", at positions 28 to 507 of the family's 1533-position model. The record is from RNAcentral.
GAUGAACGCUGGCGGCGUGCCUAAUACAUGCAAGUCGAGCGAACAGACGAGGAGCUUGCUCCUCUGACGUUAGCGGCGGACGGGUGAGUAACACGUGGAUAACCUACCUAUCAGACUGGGAUAACUUCGGGAAACCGGAGCUAAUACCGGAUAAUAUAUUGAUCCGCAUGGUUCAAUAGUGAAAGACGGUGUUGCUGGCACUUAUAGAUGGAUCCGCGCCGCAUUAGCUAGUUGGUAAGGUAACGGCUUACCAAGGCUACGAUGCGUAGACGACCUGAGAGAGUGAUCGGCCACACUGGAACUGAGACACGGUCAAGACUCCUACGGGAGGCAGCAGUAGGGAAUCUUCCGCAAUGGGCGAAAGCCUGACGGAGCAACGCCGCGUGAGUGAUGAAGGUCUUCGGAUCGUAAAACUCUGUUAUUAGGGAAGAACAAAUGUGUAAGUAACUAUGCACGUCGUGACGGUACCUAAUCAGAAAGCCACGGCUAACUACGUG